AAUACCAGUUGAGCGAGGCCCAGCUGAGCCUCAUCAGGGAUAUCCGGCGCCGGGGCAAAAACAAGAUGGCUGCACAGAACUGCCGCAAGCGCAAGUUGGACACCAUCCUGAACCUAGAACGUGAUGUGGAGGACUUGCAGCGAGAUAAGGCCCGAUUGCUCCGAGAAAAGGAAAUUUACAGGACCGUGACUGAUUAAAGGAGACGGAGAACUUUAAAGCAACUGGAUAAAGAUGUAGUGCCUCACAGAACCUGCCAGUGGUAUAGACCUGACAAGUGACAUCUUGGCACCUUAAGCUCCUGUCAGAUUUACUGUCUACAACACCAACCUGAUAGUUGUGUGCAGCUAGGUCCUUCUGUCAGUGAUAAAAUACACUCUUCAGCCUACCUGUGUACCAGGCUGGACCAUC
This 408-nucleotide long non-coding RNA is filed under the name Rattus norvegicus (Norway rat). Its description in RNAcentral is "long non-coding RNA NONRATT005942". Lineage: Eukaryota; Metazoa; Chordata; Mammalia; Rodentia; Muridae. The record is from RNAcentral.